Molecule: ribosomal RNA, 825 nt
Filed under: uncultured Bacillota bacterium
Lineage: Bacteria; Bacillati; Bacillota
Description: bacterial SSU rRNA
Rfam family: Bacterial small subunit ribosomal RNA
Source: RNAcentral
CAAGUCGAACGAGAAAGGGGAGCAAUCCCUGAGUAAAGUGGCGUACGGGUGAGUAACACGUGGAUAAUCUACCCUCUAGUGGGGAAUAACCCUGGGAAACCGGGGAUAAUACCGCAUAAGCUCGAGAGAGGAAAGCAGCAAUGCGCUGGAGGAGGAGUCCGCGGCCGAUUAGCUAGUUGGCAGGGUAAAAGCCUACCAAGGCAGAGAUCGGUAGCCGGCCUGAGAGGGCACACGGCCACACUGGCACUGAAACACGGGCCAGACUCCUACGGGAGGCAGCAGUGGGGAAUCUUGCACAAUGGGGGAAACCCUGAUGCAGCGACGCCGCGUGAGCGAUGAAGCCCUUCGGGGUGUAAAGCUCUUUCGGCAGGGAAGAUUAUGACGGUACCUGCAGAAGCAGCUGCGGCUAACUACGUGCCAGCAGCCGCGGUAAUACGUAGGCAGCGAGCGUUGUUCGGAGUUACUGGGCGUAAAGGGUGUGUAGGCGGUUAUUUAAGUUUGGUGUGAAAUCUCCCGGCUCAACCGGGAGGGUGCGCCGAAUACUGAAUGACUAGAGUGCGGGAGAGGUGAGUGGAAUUCCUGGUGUAGCGGUGAAAUGCGUAGAUAUCAGGAGGAACACCGGUGGUGUAGACGGCUCACUGGACCGUAACUGACGCUGAGACACGAAAGCGUGGGUAGCAAACAGGAUUAGAUACCCUGGUAGUCCACGCCCUAAACGAUGCAUAUUUGGUGUGGGCAGUUCAUUCUGUCCGUGCCGGAGCUAACGCGUUAAAUAUGCCGCCUGGGGAGUACAGUCGCAAGGCUGAAACUCAAAGGAAUUGACGG